Molecule: long non-coding RNA, 986 nt
Organism: Nicotiana attenuata
Lineage: Eukaryota; Viridiplantae; Streptophyta; Magnoliopsida; Solanales; Solanaceae
Exons: 5
Source: RefSeq, a predicted model, not a curated record
UAUUUCAUUCUUUCAUUCCCUUUUUAUCGAGAAUGAGGAUUCAAAAUCCAAUGAAACCCUAACGCCCAAAAUUCUAAUUCCUACUCAAUCAUUACCCACUUAUUCAUCAUCGACUUCAUCUUCUUCCUAAAAAUAUUACUCGACAAAGAUCCUUUAUUUUUCUUAUUAAUUAAUGAAGGAACAUCAGAAUAUUUGAGGCUUUGUUCUUGCUACAUCAAUAUGUCAACAGUUGCGGUUACAGAUGCAAAGUAGAUGUUUGCUACAUCAAUGGGAUUAGAAGGUAAUGACUGAUGUUCAAGCAGUUGAGAGGAAUAGAUUGGAGGAACCUGCUUUUGAAAUCGGUUUGGAAUCCCUAUGUGUAAUGCGAAAGUGCUUUCUCAUGGAGAACGGAAUAUGAGAACGUGAUUUGGCAAUAUGGUCAGUGAACAAUAUGAUGAAGAAGUGCAGUCUUAUAAUAUCAUUCAAUUUUAUAUAUAUUUUCUGCUACUAGCAACAGCAAUUUUUAUUUGUGUUGAGUUUGGUGGAGAUUUUAUACUUAAGUCUCUUAUUGAAGGUCCCUGUUGAUCCAUGUCCAGAAAGUAUAAUAGAUCCCUUGUGCAAAUAGUGACCAGGAACGAGCAACACAAGGACUACUACUGUCAUUUCAAAGUAUUGAGAUAUGCAAGGCAUAUAUCUGUGGAGACUAGUCGCGAGAUAUUAGAUGGUCUUGGGAAGGCAAACAACUAUUACUUGGACGUUUAUCCAGAGAUAAAGUGGAUCUUCAGACAUUUUUCCGUGUGGAAGGCUUCAUCAAGAUCAAGAGUUGGAGAAAUUUUAAUGCGCAUUUGUUGUAUUGUAUUAUAGCUAGUAUUUGAUAAUAUUAGCUAUUAGACCAAAUGGUGCUAGCUAUUGGAUUCAAAAAGUUUACCUUUUUGGUUAUGUAGUUGGCACUAUGAAAUUAUGGAUUAGUAGUUGGUUUGCUUAGGAUUUAAUGUAGUGUAUUGAGC